Molecule: ribosomal RNA, 253 nt
Filed under: uncultured bacterium
Lineage: Bacteria
Description: partial 16S ribosomal RNA
Rfam family: Bacterial small subunit ribosomal RNA
Source: RNAcentral
UACAGAGGUCUCAAGCGUUGUUCGGAUUCAUUGGGCGUAAAGGGUGCGUAGGCGGCGCGGUAAGUCGGGUGUGAAAUCUCGGAGCUUAACUCCGAAACUGCAUUCGAUACUGCCGUGCUUGAGGACUGGAGAGGAGACUGGAAUUCACGGUGUAGCGGUGAAAUGCGUAGAUAUCGUAAGGAAGACCAGUGGCGAAGGCGGGUCUCUGGACAGUUCCUGACACUGAGGCACGAAGGCCAGGGGAGCAAACGGG